UCCCUGGUGGUCCAGUGGUUAGGACUCUGCACUUCCACUGCAGGGGUUCUGGGUUUGAUCCCUGGUCAGGGAA
Delphinapterus leucas (beluga whale) is the source of this 73-nucleotide non-coding RNA. The record is from the annotation of a RefSeq genome assembly. Lineage: Eukaryota; Metazoa; Chordata; Mammalia; Artiodactyla; Monodontidae.